CAGCCGCCGCGGUAAUACGUAGGUCCCGAGCGUUGUCCGGAUUUAUUGGGCGUAAAGCGAGCGCAGGCGGUUAGAUAAGUCUGAAGUUAAAGGCUGUGGCUUAACCAUAGUACGCCUUGGAAACUGUUUAACUUGAGUGCAAGAGGGGAGAGUGGAAUUCCAUGUGUAGCGGUGAAAUGCGUAGAUAUAUGGAGGAACACCGGUGGCGAAAGCGGCUCUCUGGCUUGUAACUGACGCUCAUGCACGAAAGCGUGGGGAGCAAACAGGAUUAGAUACCCCAGUAGUCCCUGUCUCUUAUACA
RNAcentral lists this ribosomal RNA (301 nucleotides) under uncultured bacterium. RNAcentral's name for it is "partial 16S ribosomal RNA". It matches the Rfam family "Bacterial small subunit ribosomal RNA", at positions 509 to 808 of the family's 1533-position model. The record is from RNAcentral.